Molecule: long non-coding RNA, 375 nt
Organism: Triplophysa dalaica
Lineage: Eukaryota; Metazoa; Chordata; Actinopteri; Cypriniformes; Nemacheilidae
Exons: 3
Source: RefSeq, a predicted model, not a curated record
AUUUUUUAUUUUGUUUUAUGUUUUGAGGUUUAAGUCUUAAAAAGGACCAAUCAACAGGCAAUGGCAUUCUGCUACAUGGCUGCAUGGCUGGAGCCUGCUUAGGGAAUACCAACACUUCCUGAAUCUUCUAGAUGAAGAACCAAGGCGGGUGAAGUAAUGAUGCAUCUCUUAACACUCUCUCCUCUUUUCGUCUCCCUCACCAUCUGUUUGUUUUGAAGUCUUCCUCCAGCAAGGCGGAAAUGGAUUUCUUUAAGAUGGGGGAAGUGGCUGCAGAGUGUCUUGGGAUGGUCAUUCCGGUUGGAAUAGAAUAAAUCUGCUGGUCUGCUCGGAAGGGAAAUGAUGAGAGAAGUGAAUGGGUUGGGAAAUAUGACAGAU